RNAcentral lists this ribosomal RNA (773 nucleotides) under uncultured Streptococcus sp. Its description in RNAcentral is "bacterial SSU rRNA". It matches the Rfam family "Bacterial small subunit ribosomal RNA", at positions 28 to 776 of the family's 1533-position model. Lineage: Bacteria; Bacillati; Bacillota; Bacilli; Lactobacillales; Streptococcaceae. The record is from RNAcentral.
GACGAACGCUGGCGGCGUGCCUAAUACAUGCAAGUAGAACGCACAGUAUAUACCGUAGCUUGCUACACCAUAGACUGUGAGUUGCGAACGGGUGAGUAACGCGUAGGUAACCUGCCUGGUAGCGGGGGAUAACUAUUGGAAACGAUAGCUAAUACCGCAUAAUAUUAAUUAUUGCAUGAUAAUUGAUUGAAAGAUGCAACUGCAUCACUACCAGAUGGACCUGCGUUGUAUUAGCUAGUAGGUGAGGUAACGGCUCACCUAGGCGACGAUACAUAGCCGACCUGAGAGGGUGAUCGGCCACACUGGGACUGAGACACGGCCCAGACUCCUACGGGAGGCAGCAGUAGGGAAUCUUCGGCAAUGGACGAAAGUCUGACCGAGCAACGCCGCGUGAGUGAAGAAGGUUUUCGGAUCGUAAAGCUCUGUUGUAAGAGAAGAACGGGUGUGAGAGUGGAAAGUUCACACUGUGACGGUAUCUUACCAGAAAGGGACGGCUAACUACGUGCCAGCAGCCGCGGUAAUACGUAGGUCCCGAGCGUUGUCCGGAUUUAUUGGGCGUAAAGCGAGCGCAGGCGGUUAGAUAAGUCUGAAGUUAAAGGCUGUGGCUUAACCAUAGUACGCUUUGGAAACUGUUUAACUUGAGUGCAGAAGGGGAGAGUGGAAUUCCAUGUGUAGCGGUGAAAUGCGUAGAUAUAUGGAGGAACACCGGUGGCGAAAGCGGCUCUCUGGUCUGUAACUGACGCUGAGACUCGAAAGCAUGGGUAGCAAACAGG